Molecule: ribosomal RNA, 200 nt
Filed under: uncultured eukaryote
Lineage: Eukaryota
Description: partial 18S ribosomal RNA
Rfam family: Eukaryotic small subunit ribosomal RNA
Source: RNAcentral
CUCUAAUAGCGUAUAUUAAAGUUGUUGCAGUUAAAAAGCUCGUAGUCGGAUUUCGGGCUCGGGCAGGCUGUCGGCCUCGGUCGGACGGCAGGCUCGGGCCUUCUGCCUGGGGACUCCGUCACACUUAACUGUGGGGCGGUUGGACGCAGGCCGUUUACUUUGAAAAAAUUAGAGUGUUCAAGCAGGCCUACGCUUGAAUA